This 2940-nucleotide ribosomal RNA is filed under the name Triticum aestivum (bread wheat). Its description in RNAcentral is "partial small subunit ribosomal RNA". The record is from RNAcentral. Lineage: Eukaryota; Viridiplantae; Streptophyta; Magnoliopsida; Poales; Poaceae.
AUGGAUGACGACGGGCUGGGAAAACCUCUGCUUGGACGUGAGAGUCUCAGCACCCAAGACAUUGAUCUGGGGAACCUGCCCCUCGAAGAAGUUUUUGAGCAGCUGAGCACGUCUCGAUGUGGUCUCUCCUCAGCGGAUGCCGCGGAGCGGUUGCAGCUGUUCGGCGCUAACCGACUGGAAGAGAAGCGCGAGAACAAGGUUCUCAAGUUCAUCAGCUUCAUGUGGAACCCUCUGUCCUGGGUGAUGGAGGCAGCAGCUGUGAUGGCAUUGGUCUUGGCAAAUGGGGGUAGUCAGGGUCCUGACUGGGAGGACUUUGUGGGAAUCGUCUGCCUUCUGAUCAUCAACUCGACGAUCAGCUUCAUCGAGGAGAACAAUGCCGGGAAUGCCGCGGCUUCGCUCAUGGCCCGCUUGGCGCCUAGAACAAAGGUUCUUAGAGAUGGGCAAUGGCAAGAGAUGGAUGCCUCUGUAUUGGUACCCGGGGACAUCAUCAGCAUUAGGCUUGGUGACAUUGUCCCUGCAGAUGCGCGGCUACUCGAGGGAGAUCCUCUCAAAAUUGAUCAGUCAGCUCUCACUGGAGAAUCACUUCCUGUCACCAAAAGGACCGGCGACCUAGUGUUCACUGGUUCAACUUGCAAGCAUGGUGAGAUCGAAGCUGUCGUCAUCGCGACCGGGAUCCGCUCGUUCUUCGGGAAGGCGGCUCAUUUGGUGGACUCCACAGAGGUUGUUGGCCAUUUCCAGAAGGUACUUACCUGCAUAGGCAACUUCUGUAUCUGCUCGAUUGCGGUGGGGGUGAUCGUUGAGGUUAUCAUCAUGUUCGCGGUCCAGCACCGGUCGUACCGGGAGGGGAUCAACAAUGUGCUUGUUCUUCUGAUCGGAGGGAUACCGAUCGCGAUGCCGACGGUUUUGUCGGUCACGCUCGCAAUAGGUUCUCAUCGCCUAUCUCAACAGGGUGCCAUCACCAAAAGAAUGACAGCCAUCGAGGAAAUGGCCGGAAUGGAUGUUCUCUGCUGCGACAAAACUGGGACUCUCACUCUCAACCAUCUUACCGUCGACAAAAACCUAGUCGAGGUUUUCAGCGGAGGAAUGGACAGGGACAUGAUCAUUCUGUUGGCUGCAAGAGCAUCAAGAGUGGAUAAUCAAGAUGCAAUCGAUAUGGCCAUCAUAAAUAUGCUUUCUGAUCCCAAAGAGGCACGCGCAAACAUUACCGAAGUUCACUUUCUCCCGUUCAAUCCGGUAGACAAGAGGACGGCCAUAACAUACAUUGAUUCUGGCGGCAACUGGUUCCGGGUCAGCAAAGGUGCUCCUGAGCAGAUCCUCAACCUGUGCUUCAACAAGGAUGACAUCGCCGAGAAGGCGCAGCGGGUCGUCGACAGCUUCGCGGAGAGGGGCCUCCGUUCACUAGCAGUUGCUUACCAGGAGGUCCCGGAGAGAUCGAGGCACGGCGAUGGCGGGCCGUGGGUCUUCUGCGGCGUGCUGCCGCUGUUCGACCCGCCGCGGCACGACAGCGCCGACACCAUCCGCAGGGCCCUGGACCUGGGCGUGUGCGUGAAGAUGAUCACCGGCGACCACCUGGCGAUCGCCAAGGAGACCGGCCGGCGGCUCGGGACGGGGACCAACAUGCACCCGUCGGCGGCGCUGUUCGGCCGCCGCGGCGGCGACGAGGGGGCGGCGGCGGCGGUGGAGGAGCUGGUGGAGAGCGCGGACGGGUUCGCGGGCGUGUUCCCGGAGCACAAGCACGAGAUCGUGCGGCUCCUGCAGGCGAGCGGCCACGUGUGCGGGAUGACGGGCGACGGCGUGAACGACGCGCCGGCGCUGAAGAAGGCGGAUAUCGGCAUCGCGGUGUCGGACGCGACGGACGCCGCCCGGGCCGCCGCCGACAUCGUGCUGACGGAGCCCGGCCUCGGCGUCAUCGUCUGCGCCGUCCUCACCAGCCGCGCCAUCUUCCAGCGCAUGAGGAACUACACGGUGCGUCUGGGCCCUCCAUGCCACGCCAUUGCCAGCACCACAAAUGUUCAGUUCGGUUACUGGGAUUUGCUUGUGAUGAUUUCUACCUUGCCGAUGCAGAUCUAUGCCGUGUGCAUCACCAUACGAAUAGUGGUUGGGUUUGUUCUUCUGGCGUCGAUAUGGGAGUACGACUUCCCGCCAUUCAUGGUGCUCAUCAUAGCCAUACUCAACGAUGGGACGAUCAUGGCGAUAUCCAAGGACCGGGUGAAGCCGUCGGGGAGCCCGGACAGCUGGAAGCUCAACGAGAUAUUCGCGACCGGGGUCGUCAUCGGCACCUACCUCGCGCUGGUCACGGUGCUCUUCUACUGGGCGCUCACCAGAACCACGUUCUUCGAGUCUCACUUCGGGGUGCGGUCGCUGAAGGGCGACGCGGAGGAGGUGUCGUCGGCGGUGUACCUGCAGGUGAGCAUCACCAGCCAGGCCCUGAUAUUCGUGACCCGCAGCCGGGGCCUCUCCUUCCUCGACCGGCCGGGGACCCUGCUCGUCUGCGCCUUCGCCGUCGCGCAGCUGGUGGCGACCCUGGUGGCGGUGUACGCGGCCGUCGGCUUCGCGUCGAUCAGCGGCGUCGGGUGGCGGUGGGCGGGCGUCAUAUGGCUCUACAGCCUGGUCUCCUACCUCCCGCUCGACCCCGUCAAGGUCGCCGUCCGCUACGCCCUCAGCGGCGAGGCCUGGAGUCUGCUCCUCGACCGGAAGGCUGCGUUUGCAAGGAGGAGGAGAGACUACUACGGCGAGGAGGAGCGGCGGGGGGCGGCGCUGUCGGCGCGGCGGGCGCUCUCUGACCAUCUCCUCAGCAGCAGGACGCCACGCUCCGCCGUCGCAGAGCAAGCGAGGCGGCGCGCCGAGAUCGCCAGCAGGCUGGGAGAAACGCACUCGCCAAGGGCGCACCUCGAGUCUGUGAUGAAGCUCAAGCGCGCCCGGUCGGCUCACUCCGUUUGA